RNAcentral lists this transfer RNA (79 nucleotides) under Lafresnaya lafresnayi. Its description in RNAcentral is "tRNA-His". The stretch from base 1 to 69 matches the Rfam family "tRNA". From Rfam's summary of the family: Transfer RNA (tRNA) molecules are approximately 80 nucleotides in length. The record is from RNAcentral. Lineage: Eukaryota; Metazoa; Chordata; Aves; Apodiformes; Trochilidae.
GCAAGUAUAGUUUAACCAAAACAUUAGUCUGUGACCCUAAAGACAGAAGUUAAAUCCUUCUUACCUGCCGAGGGGAGGU